UCUUUUUUUGAGGGCAUUUGCAGGUAUUAUGCAAAUGUGUUACUUGGUGACAUCACCACUUUAUGUAAGAAAAGGCGGGACAUCAAGCAAAGCAUUUCAGGCAGUUCAGGAGAAGUGUUUCUGUGGGGGAGAGUAACUCCCUUUGG
Molecule: long non-coding RNA, 146 nt
Organism: Sebastes umbrosus (honeycomb rockfish)
Lineage: Eukaryota; Metazoa; Chordata; Actinopteri; Perciformes; Sebastidae
Exons: 3
Source: RefSeq, a predicted model, not a curated record